RNAcentral lists this unclassified non-coding RNA (1366 nucleotides) under Hevea brasiliensis (rubber tree). The record is from RNAcentral. Lineage: Eukaryota; Viridiplantae; Streptophyta; Magnoliopsida; Malpighiales; Euphorbiaceae.
AAGAAGAAGAAGAAGAAGGAAAAGAAUGUUGAGAUUCCUGAAGACCCUCAGGUAUCAAGUGGAAUAGAUAAGGGGUUUCAGAGCUUCUGUAGUGAUAUGUCUAUGGUGGAUGGAAUGAAAGAAGGAGAAAAUGUGGUUAGUAUAGAUAUGAAUGUUGUUGACAAUGCAGCUGAACAGAAUCCCGUUGAUAUGUCUAAUGGUGUCGUCCUACGAAGGCUUCUUGUGAGUUGAUCGGGGGCCCAGAUACUUUGAUCCUCCAGACAGCAGUUGGGGGACGUGUUAUAAUUGUGGUGAAGAGGGUCAUACGACAGUCAGUUGUACUUCAGCCAAACGCAAAAAACCAUGUUUUGUUUGUGGGAGUUUUGAUCAUAAUUCUAAACAAUGUACAAAGGGCAAGGAGUGUUUCAUCUGCAAGAAGGGCGGUCAUCGUGCUAAGGAUUGCCUUGAAAAAAGCCAAGGAGGAUCUGAGAGUUCAAGAAUGUGUUUAAAAUGUGGGGAUUCUGGGCAUGAUAUGCUGUCAUGCUGGAAUAACUAUUAUGCUGAUGAUCUAAAGGAAAUACAAUGUUACAUUUGUAAGAGUUUUGGUCAUCUUUGCUGUGCAAGCUACCCCAAUGGUGGUCCAAGUGAAAUAUCCUGUUACAGAUGUGGUCUACUAGGCCAUACCGGUUUGGCAUGCACAGGAUCUCGUGGGGAAACUAGUGGUACAUGGAAUCUUAGUUCUUGUUUUAGGUGUGGCGAAGAAGGGCAUUUUGCACGAGAAUGCACUAAUUCCAAUAUAGUCAAUAAGUGGAAUCGGGAAUCAUCAACCCCCAAGAAGAAAGUGUUCAAGGAAAGAAAGGAAAAUUAUGAGUUCCAAUCUGCUCCUCAUGAAUAUGGUAAGGCAAGAAAAAAGAACACACAAUAUGGAGAAGGAUAUGCAUCAGGGUACAAUACAAAACAUAGAGCUGGUUGGAUCACCGAUGAUCCUGAAGACUUCCCUCGAUCCAAUGGUUGGAGAUCUCCUUCAACUCCUGGACAUAAGAGAGCCAGGACAUCCAACUUUGGUUCUGGUGAUCAUUCUUCUGUUUCUUAUUCAUCUAGAAAGUCCAACAGGCUCGACUUUAACGAUUCAACUUCUUAUGGAUCAGUCAAACAUCAUCAUCACCAUAGGUUUUCAGCUUCGCGAUUUGGCAACAGCAGUCAUGAUGGGAGGAGAAAUUAUGAAUGGUAACAGAAACCCUUUAUUAUCUCUUUUUUUUGGAUGACCAAAUCUCCAUCCAGUAACCAUACAAAUGAGCAGAUCUCCUCUUUUUUUUUUUUGGAUGAUUCUAAUAUUGUUCUCCUGCUUAAUGGGCAUAUGAAAUUAGGUUUUGUCAAUUGAUUAGCC